This 323-nucleotide ribosomal RNA is filed under the name uncultured eukaryote. RNAcentral's name for it is "partial 18S ribosomal RNA". It matches the Rfam family "Eukaryotic small subunit ribosomal RNA", at positions 1470 to 1796 of the family's 1831-position model. The record is from RNAcentral.
CCCUUAGAUGUCCUGGGCAGCACGCGUGCUACAAUGAUGCAUUCAACGAGUCUUGCCUUAACCGAAAGGUUCGGGUAAACUUUUGAAAUUGCAUCUUGUCGGGGCUUGAUCAUUGUAAUUUUUGAUCACAAACAAGGAAUUCCUUGUAAAUGUGAGUCAUCAACUUGCAUUGAAUACGUCCCUGCCCUUUGUACACACCGCCCGUCGCUUCUACCGAUGAAUGAUCCGGUGAACACUCUGGACUUGUUGUCUGUCGGAGCAAGCCAAAGACGAUAGGGAAGUUGUGUAAACCUUAUCAUUUAGAGGAAGAAGAAGUCGUAACA